Molecule: non-coding RNA, 301 nt
Organism: Neolamprologus brichardi
Lineage: Eukaryota; Metazoa; Chordata; Actinopteri; Cichliformes; Cichlidae
Source: RefSeq, a predicted model, not a curated record
GUCAAGGGGGAAAAAUACUCCUGAGGAGUUGUCUGAGCCAAUUCUGCACCCUGGGAAGCUGAAAAGCUUGCUUUCCCUUGUAGUGCAUUAAAAAGCUUUGUUAUAAUCCCACUACUGUUGUGGCCAAAUAAACACUUUUAAAAUGUGGUUUAUAACUUGACACUCUUUCUUUGCAGAAACAGUGUUUCCGGACCAAAGCGACUUCGAAUAUGAUUAUGAGACGUUGCGGACAACAGGGGUUAUCCUUGCUGUCAUUAUGUUUGUCUCUGGCAUAUUAAUAGCCCUGAGUAAAAAAUUCACA